GGGACACUGAGAAACUCUUUUCCAAUCAGAGAUUUGAUGCUGUGAUUCACUUUGCUGGUCUUAAAACUGUGGGUGAAAGUGUUGGAAACCCUCGUCGUUACUUUGAUAAUAACUUAGUUGGAACCAUCAAUCUGUAUGAGACCAUGGCAAAAUACAACUGCAAAGUGAUGGUCUUUUCAUCCUCUCCAACAGUUUAUGGCCAAC
Camelina sativa (false flax) is the source of this 204-nucleotide long non-coding RNA. RefSeq lists it as uncharacterized. NCBI's taxonomy places the organism in Eukaryota, Viridiplantae, Streptophyta, Magnoliopsida, Brassicales, Brassicaceae. The record is from RefSeq and is a predicted model, not a curated record.